This 3198-nucleotide unclassified non-coding RNA is filed under the name Pomacea canaliculata. RNAcentral's name for it is "protein FAM92A-A-like, transcript variant X1". The record is from RNAcentral. Lineage: Eukaryota; Metazoa; Mollusca; Gastropoda; Architaenioglossa; Ampullariidae.
CCGGGAAGCUCAACCAACGCAACGCAAUGUAAUAAAUCGACUUCAGUGUCCAGUUGUUGAAAGUGUGGUCCCGGUUCGUCAUGACGACACGUAAUGCACAGCAGGCAAAUAGGGAGGCAGAAUCAAGACUUGUCCAGUAUCGAGUGCAGAAUGCCCAGAAACAUCUGGGAAAUAUCUGUGAAACAGUUGGCUCUAUCGUCAGAAAGAGUGCCAGGCUGAGAGACAAAGGUGAUCUGUUGGCCAGCAGGCUGACAGCUUAUGCUGAAAGCAACCAUUUCAACUCAUCAUCCUGUUACAACAUCAAGCGCUUUGCUGAAAACUAUGCAGUGGUGCAGGACUACAGUGAUACCAAGGUUAAAAGAAUGGAGGCAAAAGUAUUGAAACCAUUGAUGCGAUAUGGAGAAUUGUGCAAAUACAUGAAGAAAACUGUUCACUCAGAUAUUGCUGCCUCAGGCAAGGAAAAGAAGGUAUUUCACAAACUUCAAAAACUGCAGCAGAAACCACACAACUCACAGCUUAUCAAUCAGACACAGCUAGAGUUGGAGAGGGUUCAAGAUGAGAAAAGGAUGUGUGCUGGUACCUUGCAGGUUGAAAUAGAAAGGUUUGAGUUUGACAGACUUUUGGGUAUUAAGAAAAUUCUGACUGAACUUGUGAAAAUAGAGAUGGUGUACCAUGCCAAGGCCCUUGAAUACCUGUCCAAAUGCUUUGAAAAUGCACAGCAGAUCAACAUAGAGGCUGAUCUCAGUGAAUUUCAAGCAGCUGCACUGCAGGCAGAAGGCAGAUAUGUUGGUGGUGACAGCAGUUCUAGAAGCCAGCAGCUUCACACAGGCUCCCCAGACCCAGUCUAUGCCGUUCCUUUCAGGCGGUCAACAGACCCAGUUACUUCCAGUCGCUUGUCAUCUCCACAGUCAAGGCAACCCAUCAGGGUUCGCAUUUCUGAACAAUCAUUUGUGUUUCCAGUUCAUGGUGUAUGAGAAUCUGGAUUUCUUAAAAUAAAAAUGAAACCCACUUCUGCAGUACAGAUCGGAUAAUGUACAUGUGCUGUAGUAUGUAAAAAUUCAUUUCUGGAAUUCUUCUUCUUGAUUUUUGAAAACAAAAGAAAGAGGCAUCUUGAUCCAUGUGGUGGAGAGCAUGAGGAAGUUGGAAAUGGGUACUAAGUUCAUGCUCACCUAGAAAACAAAGCCUUUUGUUCAGGACUGGACAAUCAUAUUUAUUUACCUUUUCCUGUCCGAUCAGGACAUUAUUUCAUUUUGUAGCAUUCAGUAUUAAAAUAGCGAAAAUAGUCUUUGUUUUAAUAUUUUCCUUCCAGUGCUAGCAACAGCUGUUAUGAAACUGUGGGUUUUUUUUUUUUUGAUUGCAAGGUAACUUAGAAUCAGAUAUAUAAUGUUACCGUUGUAUAAACCUUUUUCCCCAUUAUAGUACCAAAGCAAUUAGAAUUGUUAGUGUUUUUAAGACGUGAAGGGGUGUCAGUCAUCCCUUUUUAUUAUAUUUUAUCAUAUGAAAUAAAAUGAAUCAUUUCUACAGUUUGGGUUUUUUAUUUUCAAGAAUCUAAUAGGGUGCAUUUUUUUUUCUCUCAUGACUGGACAAAGCUCAGCGCAAGAUACUGUUUCCCUAAAUACCGGCUUAUAACUCCAAGCCAUUCUCUAGAUGCAUGCCAACAAAGAAUUUGUAAAUUUGUAUUUUUCAACAGAUGUGCCUAAUCAAUAGUGUGCCAUUACCUAAAAUCUUGAUCCAUCCCUGUACAUUUUUGAUGUUUAUUGAUCUACUUAUGUGCAUAGUAAUGUUUGUAGGCAUGUAUUUUGGCAACAGUAACAGGGUAACCCUUACUCUAACCCUCACCAGCUAUACCAGUGGGUGAUGAGGGAAUCGGGCUGAGAGUAUUUCCAGUGACUGAGUAGUACUUCUUGUCAUGAAUUUCAACUGCCUCACAUUAUUCUUGGGAGGUCUGGAGAUUCUCUCUACAUCAUUGGCAUGAAGUAGAUUCUUUAUGCAAAAGACAGCAAGAGCAUUACCAGACACUUACUAAUUUGUCCUCUCACUUGCUAUACUCUGAAAUGCAUGGCAGCCAUGAUCCUUGCCUGCUUGCCCAAGGAUCCAAUGAAUAUCAGCAGAAAUUACCCAGAUUUUGAUCUGAAGUAAAACUGAACGCAGUUUAAUCUUAGAAUCCACUGACACACUGAGAUAAUCUGAAGUCAAUUACAACCAAUAAAAUUAGCUAAAAAUUCUAAACAUUCAGAGAGACACAAAGUUGUGACUGACCCGGGGGUGUGAUAUAAUAUCUGUUACCUCCCACUCCUAUUGCAAUGUGUGCAAGGUGUGUACAGGAAAGAAAGGAAUGAUUGGUGUGUAAAUGAAUGGUAGACAAUGCAUAAUGUCCAUUAAUUUUAGUAUGGUGAGCUUUUCAACAUCGCACAACUGACAGACCACUACAGCAACCAAAGAAAGGUGAGGCAGUCAUAUUAUGAUAACGGUUUAAUUUUUGGUAGUAAAAUAAAGUUUUCAUGCUUUCUUCCUUGGGCUGCUCUAAAUCACAUAGUGUUAUAAACCAAAUACUUGCCUCACAAAGGCACCAAGGAAAGUUAUGACCUUUAUUUUGAUGUUUGGACAUACCACUGACACAAGGUCAAUAGAGGCUACACCUACCACUGUUGGAGCCAGUGUACAUACUAAAGCUAUGUACUACUAAGGUUAUAAAGACAUCAUACAAGGUUAUACAAGCAAUGGAAUGCCUGGUUGUGUGUAGCUAAACACUCACUUGUCACUACUGCAAUGAGAAGCCAUGAGUUCAGAUCUUGUCAACUGUAUGCGACAGCUAUUUGCAUGGCUGCCUAUCUGGGGUUUUAUUUGGGUACUCUGGUUUUCUUCUCUCUCCCUUCCCACACGUAGCUUGAAACCACUUUCAGGAUUAAGCACUUUCCUGCCAAAGCAACUGAUUAGACAAGCAAUGGCUACAGACACUGUGUGAUUUAAGAGCAGCCUUGAUAUGAAAAUCAACCAUGCACUAAAUAUGCAAUUCAGAACUGCACAUGAAUGUUUUCUCUACAGUAUCACAGUGUUAACUACAAAACACUAAAAUCUUUGUUCGUGAAAUCAGCAGCUGUGAGACGACAAUAAAAGCAGCAGUUACUAGGAAACUGCAGUACAAAACUAAAGACACAAAUGACGAGGUCAAUAAAAAUAGCAUUAUAUUUUAAAUGA